GUGUUUUAUGAAAGUAAAGAAAUAGGUUAACAGUCCCCGAGACAAGAAUGGAAAACAUUAUCAGGACCUAUACCACACAUAUACAUUUAAAGUAUCACUCAGCCUGGUCAACAUGGUGAGGGCCUGUCUCUACAAAAAUUUAAAUCUUA
This 149-nucleotide non-coding RNA is filed under the name Pongo abelii (Sumatran orangutan). The record is from RNAcentral. Lineage: Eukaryota; Metazoa; Chordata; Mammalia; Primates; Hominidae.